Molecule: ribosomal RNA, 896 nt
Filed under: uncultured eukaryote
Lineage: Eukaryota
Description: SSU rRNA
Rfam family: Eukaryotic small subunit ribosomal RNA
Source: RNAcentral
UUCAAAUUUCUGCCCUAUCAACUUUCGAUGGUAGGAUAGUGGCCUACCAUGGUGGCAACGGGUAACGGGGAAUUAGGGUUCGAUUCCGGAGAGGGAGCCUGAGAAACGGCUACCACAUCCAAGGAAGGCAGCAGGCGUGCAAAUUACCCAAUCCCGAUACGGGGAGGUAGUGACAAUAAAUACUGAUACAGGGCUCUUUUGGGUCUUGUAAUUGGAAUGAGAACAAUCUAAAUCCCUUAACGAGGAACAAUUGGAGGGCAAGUCUGGUGCCAGCAGCCGCGGUAAUUCCAGCUCCAAUAGCGUAUAUUAAAGUUGUUGCAGUUAAAAAGCUCGUAGUUGAACCUUGGGCCCGUCCUGCCGGUCCGCCUCACCGCGAGUACUGGUCCGGAUGGGCCUUUCUUUCUGGGGAAUCCCAUGGCCUUCACUGGCUGUGGCGAGGAACCAGGACUUUUACUGUGAAAAAAUUAGAGUGUUCAAAGCAGGCCUUUGCUCGGAUACAUUAGCAUGGAAUAAUAGAAUAGGACGUGCGGUUCUACUUUGUUGGUUUCUAGGACCGCCGUAAUGAUUAAUAGGGAUAGUCGGGGGCGUCAGUAUUCAGCUGUCAGAGGUGAAAUUCUUGGAUUUGCUGAAGACUAACUACUGCGAAAGCAUUCGCCAAGGAUGUUUUCAUUAAUCAGGGAACGAAAGUUAGGGGAUCGAAGACGAUCAGAUACCGUCGUAGUCUUAACCAUAAACUAUGCCGACUAGGGAUCGGGCGGGGUUUCUAUGAUGACCCGCUCGGCACCUUACGAGAAAUCAAAGUUUUUGGGUUCUGGGGGGAGUAUGGUCGCAAGGCUGAAACUUAAAGAAAUUGACGGAAGGGCACCACAAGGCGUGGAGCCUGCGGCUUAAUUUGA